GGCAAGAUGGCCGAGCGGUCUAAGGCGCUGUGUUCAGGAAUUUAACAGAUUCCCGAAUUUCGCAGUCCGAAAGGGCGUGGGUUCGAAUCCCACUCUUGUCA
Non-coding RNA from Podospora fimiseda, 101 nucleotides. Lineage: Eukaryota; Fungi; Ascomycota; Sordariomycetes; Sordariales; Podosporaceae. The record is from the annotation of a GenBank genome assembly.